RNAcentral lists this ribosomal RNA (330 nucleotides) under uncultured eukaryote. RNAcentral describes it as "partial 18S ribosomal RNA". It matches the Rfam family "Eukaryotic small subunit ribosomal RNA", at positions 1470 to 1796 of the family's 1831-position model. The record is from RNAcentral.
CCCUUAGAUGUUCUGGGCCGCACGCGCGCUACAAUGAUGAAUUCAACGAGUUUAUAACCUUGGUUGAAAAGCCUGGGUAAUCUUUUGAACUUUCGUCGUGAUGGGGCUAGACCCUUGCAAUUAUUGGUCUCCAACGAGGAAUUCCUAGUAAACGCAAGUCAUCAGCUUGCAUUGAUUACGUCCCUGCCCUUUGUACACACCGCCCGUCGCUCCUACCGAUUGAAUGAUCCGAUGAAUACCAUGGAUUGAGAGUACGAAUAGGUUCGCUUAUUUCUGCUGCUCGAGAAGUGGAGUAAAUCUUAUCAUUUAGAGGAAGGAGAAGUCGUAACA